GCUCAUUAAAUCAGUUAUCGUCUAUUUGAUAGUACCUUACUACUUGGAUAACCGUGGUAAUUCUAGAGCUAAUACAUGCUGCAAAGCCCGACUUCGGAAGGGUUGUAUUUAUUAGAUUAAAAACCAAUGCCCUCCGGGGCUCACUGGUGAUUCAUGAUAACUUCUCGAAUCGCACGGCCUUGCGCCGGCGAUGGUUCAUUCAAAUUUCUGCCCUAUCAACUUUCGACGGCUGGGUCUUGGCCAGCCGUGGUGACAACGGGUAACGGAGGGUUAGGGCUCGACCCCGGAGAAGGAGCCUGAGAAACGGCUACUACAUCCAAGGAAGGCAGCAGGCGCGCAAAUUACCCAAUCCCGACACGGGGAGGUAGUGACAAUAAAUACUGAUACAGGGCUCUUUUGGGUCUUGUAAUUGGAAUGAGUACAAUUUAAUUCCCUUAACGAGGAACAAUUGGAGGGCAAGUCUGGUGCCAGCAGCCGCGGUAAUUCCAGCUCCAAUAGCGUAUAUUAAAGUUGUUGCAGUUAAAAAGCUCGUAGUUGAACCUUGGGCCUGGCUGGCCGGUCCGCCUCACCGCGUGCACUGGUCCGGCCGGGCCUUUCCCUCUGGGGAGCCGCAUGCCCUUCACUGGGCGUGCCGGGGAACCAGGACGUUUACUUUGAAAAAAUUAGAGUGUUCAAAGCAGGCUUAUGCUCGGAUACAUUAGCAUGGAAUAAUAGAAUAGGACGCGUGGUUCUAUUUUGUUGGUUUCUAGGACCGCCGUAAUGAUUAAUAGGGACAGUCGGGGGCAUCAGUAUUCAGCUGUCAGAGGUGAAAUUCUUGGAUUUGCUGAAGACUAACUACUGCGAAAGCAUUUGCCAAGGAUGUUUUCAUUAAUCAGGAACGAAAGUUAGGGGAUCGAAGACGAUCAGAUACCGUCGUAGUCUUAACCAUAAACUAUGCCGACUAGGGAUCGGACGGU
This 956-nucleotide ribosomal RNA is filed under the name Raffaelea subalba. RNAcentral describes it as "SSU rRNA". It matches the Rfam family "Eukaryotic small subunit ribosomal RNA", at positions 96 to 1061 of the family's 1831-position model. Lineage: Eukaryota; Fungi; Ascomycota; Sordariomycetes; Ophiostomatales; Ophiostomataceae. The record is from RNAcentral.